UGAAAGCCCCCGGCUUCAACCGGGGAGGGUCAUUGGAAACUGGGGAACUUGAGUGCAGAAGAGGAGAGUGGAAUUCCACGUGUAGCGGUGAAAUGCGUAGAGAUGUGGAGGAACACCAGUGGCGAAGGCGACUCUCUGGUCUGUAACUGACGCUGAGGAGCGAAAGCGUGGGGAGCGAACAGGAUUAGAUACCCUGGUAGUCCACGCCGUAAACGAUGAGUGCUAAGUGUUAGGGGGUUUCCGCCCCUUAGUGCUGCAGCUAACGCAUUAAGCACUCCGCCUGGGGAGUACGGUCGCAAGACUGAAACUCAAAGGAAUUGACGGGGGCCCGCACAAGCGGUGGAGCAUGUGGUUUAAUUCGAAGCAACGCGAAGAACCUUACCAGGUCUUGACGUCCUCUGACAAUCCUAGAGAUAGGACGUCCCCUUCGGGGGCAGAGUGACAGGUGGUGCAUGGUUGUCGUCAGCUCGUGUCGUGAGAUGUUGGGUUAAGUCCCGCAACGAGCGCAACCCUUGAUCUUAGUUGCCAGCAUUCAGUUGGGCACUCUAAGGUGACUGCCGGUGACAAACCGGAGGAAGGUGGGGAUGACGUCAAAUCAUCAUGCCCCUUAUGACCUGGGCUACACACGUGCUACAAUGGACAGAACAAAGGGCAGCG
This 657-nucleotide ribosomal RNA is filed under the name Bacillus subtilis. RNAcentral's name for it is "bacterial SSU rRNA". It matches the Rfam family "Bacterial small subunit ribosomal RNA", at positions 595 to 1251 of the family's 1533-position model. Lineage: Bacteria; Bacillati; Bacillota; Bacilli; Caryophanales; Bacillaceae. The record is from RNAcentral.